UACGUAGGGGGCAAGCGUUGUCCGGAUUUAUUGGGCGUAAAGAGCGUGUAGGCGGCUGGGUAGGUCCGUUGUGAAAACUCGAGGCUCAACCUCGAGACGCCGAUGGAAACCCUCCAGCUAGAGUCCGGAAGAGGAGAGUGGAAUUCCUGGUGUAGCGGUGAAAUGCGCAGAUAUCAGGAAGAACACCGAUGGCGAAGGCAGGUCUCUGGGCAUUAACUGACGCUGAGGAGCGAAAGCAUGGGGAGCGAACAGG
This 253-nucleotide ribosomal RNA is filed under the name uncultured bacterium. Its description in RNAcentral is "partial 16S ribosomal RNA". It matches the Rfam family "Bacterial small subunit ribosomal RNA", at positions 524 to 776 of the family's 1533-position model. The record is from RNAcentral.